GAAUAUUGGACAAUGGGGGGAACCCUGAUCCAGCCAUGCCGCGUGUGUGAAGAAGGCCUUUUGGUUGUAAAGCACUUUAAGCGAGGAGGAGGAGCUCUUGGUUAAUACCCAAGAUGCUUGGACGUUACUCGCAGAAUAAGCACCGGCCAACUCUGUGCCAGCCGCCGCGGUAAUACAGAGGGUGCAAGCGUUAAUCGGAAUUACUGGGCGUAAAGCGCGCGUAGGUGGUCCAGUAAGAUGGGUGUGAAAUCCCCGGGCUCAACCUGGGAACUGCUUUCAUAACUGCUGAGCUAGAGUACGGUAGAGGGUAGUGGAAUUUCCUGUGUAGCGGUGAAAUGCGUAGAUAUAGGAAGGAACACCAGUGGCGAAGGCGACUACCUGGACUGAUACUGACACUGAGGUGCGAAAGCGUGGGGAGCAAACAG
Molecule: ribosomal RNA, 425 nt
Filed under: uncultured bacterium
Lineage: Bacteria
Description: bacterial SSU rRNA
Rfam family: Bacterial small subunit ribosomal RNA
Source: RNAcentral